UCCUACGGGAGGCAGCAGUGGGGAAUUUUGGACAAUGGGGGCAACCCUGAUCCAGCCAUGCCGCGUGAGUGAAGAAGGCCUUCGGGUUGUAAAGCUCUUUCAGCCGGAAAGAAAUCGUGCAGGUUAAUACCUUGCAUGGAUGACGGUACCGGAAGAAGAAGCACCGGCUAACUACGUGCCAGCAGCCGCGGUAAUACGUAGGGUGCGAGCGUUAAUCGGAAUUACUGGGCGUAAAGCGUGCGCAGGCGGUUUUGUAAGACAGGCGUGAAAUCCCCGGGCUUAACCUGGGAACUGCGUUUGUGACUGCAAGGCUAGAGUAUGGCAGAGGGGGGUAGAAUUCCACGUGUAGCAGUGAAAUGCGUAGAGAUGUGGAGGAAUACCGAUGGCGAAGGCAGCCCCCUGGGUCAAUACUGACGCUCAUGCACGAAAGCGUGGGGAGCAAACAGGAUUAGAUACCCUGGUAGUCCACGCCCUAAACGAUGUCAACUAGGUGUUGGGGGAGGAGACUUCCUUAGUACCGCAGCUAACGCGUGAAG
RNAcentral lists this ribosomal RNA (536 nucleotides) under uncultured Gallionellaceae bacterium. RNAcentral describes it as "bacterial SSU rRNA". It matches the Rfam family "Bacterial small subunit ribosomal RNA", at positions 337 to 864 of the family's 1533-position model. The record is from RNAcentral. Lineage: Bacteria; Pseudomonadati; Pseudomonadota; Betaproteobacteria; Nitrosomonadales; Gallionellaceae.